AUAAUUUAGUUAUCAUUUCACUUAAGUUUAGUUUUCACAAAUGAGAACAUAGAGAAUGCUGUUGAUUUAUUUUCUGUGUAGUUAAAAUGGCUAGUCAUCGGAUGUCUCUUAGUGUUUAUUGGGAUGGACAGUUAGAUAUGGAUGGAAAUGGUUCCCGAUAUUUCGGUGGUCGAAAGAAAUUGAUCGCGAUUCAUUCAGACACAACCUAUGCGAAUUUUGAGAGGAGAAUGUAUCGUUUAGUAAAUUGUAAUAGAGAAGAAUGUUGUCUUAAAUACACAAUUCGAUACCCUACGGGAGUGAAUGAAUAUAUUGCUCAUGAUAUAGUAGAUGAUGAAUUAUUGGAGGGAUUAAUUGGAUUGUUUGAAUAUUAUGGAUGUGUGUCGCUAUACAUAAAGAAAGAUUUAUAUCCGUCAGAGACACAAUAUCCGUCGCAAGGCUAUUACACAAGUCUGCUACAUAAUAAUAUCGAUGUGGGAUUUCCGGAGAAUCCAAUUGGUGACCGUGAAGUUAGUAAUGAACCAGGCAUAAGAAUGACAAGGUCAGUAAUAUAUCUCAAGAUUGCGGUGAAUAUUUUCUUUAAUUAUGAAAUAUUUUAAUAAAUUAUAAUUAUAAAUACUGCAAACAGAGUCAGUCUCCACGUGCGCAACCCUCGACGUCACGUGCGCAACCCUCGACUUCACGUGCGCAACCCUCGACGUCACGUGUGCACGUAUCGACGUCGCGUGCGUAACCCUCGACGUCACGUGUGCACGUAUCAACGUCACGUGCGCAACCCUCGACUUUACGUGACAAACCCACGAUAUUUCAUACACCUAAUGAAAAUUACGAUUGGGGGUAAAAAAUUUUUUGAUUAUUUAAUUAAUAGUAAGUGAAAUUUUACCUAAUAUAGUAAACAUUCGGGACCUAUUACAGGCUAUCUACGUCCUAUACAAAUUGGAAUGAAGUUCUUGAUAAUACUGUCGAUGAAGGAGAUGAUAAUGACGGUAAUAAGAACGAUGCACCCAUUCAUAAUAAUGGUGAUCAGGAGGAUGCACCCAUUCAUGAUGACAACAAUUAGGAGGAUGCACCCAUUCAUGAGGACGACGAUUAAAAUGAUCUAGCUGUUGACAUUGAAGAUGAUCACGAUGGUAGAUUAAAUUGCCUUGCGAAUGCCAUUUACAGUUUGAAUGACGACCCGCAUGUAAACAACAAAUAUGUAGACAAUCCUGACGAGGAACUUGAUUUUAUUGACCAUCCGGAGCAAUUUUCUAUGGAUAACAAUUGGAUACAACAGCAUGUUGUGAAUUCGAGUGAGUUUGAUGUUAGACGUACCAAUUCCGAUCUACCUAGCAUUGACGAGACUUGGCUCCAUAAAAUCUUUAAUGAUCAGGCAUCUUUAAUGGGCGCUUUAGAUCGAUGGCACAUUACUCACAAUAUUUAGAUGAAGAUUUUGAAAUCCACCAAAACAACUUAUACAGUGAAAUGCACAGUUGAGGGAUGUCCUUGGAGGUUACACGCUUCGGUUCCUAAGGAUGCAACAUAUUUCAGAGUUAAGACAUAUGCGGGUCAACACACUUGUGUUAUUCCAAUGCUAAAUGCGGCGCACCGUAAUUGUACUUUAAAUCUCAUAUGCCAAGUAAUUCUCCCGUUAAUGAAGACAAGACUUAAUAUGACGCCAAAAGAAGUGCAAGAAAUGGUGCGAUCCACUUUGCAUGUUCAAAUAAAUUAUUGGAAGGCAUGGUUGGCAAGGAGCAAAGCAUUACAGAUUAUUUACGGGAACUGGGAGCAGUCAUACACAGACUUGCCUCGGUAUCUUACUAUGCUGCAGAGUACUAAUCAUGGAACUUUUUGGCGGCUUGAUCAUAUAUGGCCAUCAGAUGGAAUAUGUUAGUUUGGUCGUGUUUUUUGGUUAUUUGCUCCUUCUAUUCAUGGAUUCGCACAUUGUCGGCCGGUGGUGAGCAUUGAUGCGACUCACUGGUAUGGCAAAUACGAAGGCCAUGCAUUGAUAGCGAUGGCUGUCGAUGCAAAUGAUAGCAUUUUUCCCUUACUUUUGUAAUUUGCGAAGGCGAAAAUGGUGGAAGUUUGCGUUUGUUUUUACAUAACUUGCAACAUUAUGUUAUACGCAAUCGAUCGGUUUGUUUUAUAUCUGAUAGAUUUAGUGGCUUAAAGGAAAUAGUGGCUGAGUUAUAUCCUACGCGACAGAGGCAUGCACACAGGUGGUGUCUUCGACACAUGAAAGCAAAUAUGGCUAAGCGGUUUAAAAAUGAAUCGUUAUUAGACAAAUUCUAUAGUAUCGGCAGUGCUCCAACAUCGGUACAAUAUUAUAAACUAAAAGAAGAGUUACUCGCGCUAGAUCAGGAUGUUUGGAAGUGGGUUGAUGAGCUCGAAGUAUACAAAGAGUAUUGGGUGUGGGCAUUUGAUAGAGGGCGACGCUUCGGGUUGAUGACCACCAAUAUGUCCGAGAGUUUAAAUGGGGUACUUAAGGCAAUUCGUGCUCUCCCUAUAACGGCAUUUGUCGCGGAAACUUUUUACAAACUUAAUAGUUAUUUUUUAAAACAUCGUGAAAAUGGUGAAAGUAUGACGGCCACGUUAGCACCUAAAAUACAAAGUCGGAUUACGAUGAAUAUGGUGAUGGCGCGGAGACACAUUGUAUAUCGAUUUGGGCCUAUUGAGUUUGAAGUCAAAACAGGACACUCCGAUUACAAUGUUAUCCUGAAUAGACCAUAAGCGCAUUGUGAUUGCGGCGAAUUCAAGCUAACGGGCAUACCUUGCUUGCAUCUUUUAGCAGUUUGCAGUAAUUCACAAAGAAUAAUAGAUUAUCAUAGUCUUUGUUCCCAUUAGUAUACUGUAGAGUGUUAUCGCCAGACAUACGCACCGCUUUUCCAUCCAGUUCCAGACAGGCGCUACUGGCCACGACCCCUGGGCCCACCAAUUGUACCGCCUCCAGUGAGAAGGAAGAAAGGUCGACCACGAUCAACACGUAUUCGUAAUAUAAUGGACGCAACCAGUGGUCGACGAACAAAAUGCAGCAUUUGUAAGCAGGAAGGUCAUUAUAGAAAUACCUGUCCACAGAAUACAGAGAGAGCACAACAAUGACGUCGACGUAGGACUUGUUACCUAACUUACUAGUAUUUAUUAAACUUUCAAUAUUCCAAUAUUCAAUGCGCUUUUUGAUAAUAUGUUACUAAUUACAAAUUCUUUAAAAUUGCAGAUGGUAGAUCUAGAGGAGAAGGCGGGACCGGUUGAUGAGUCCAUCCUGAUAGAGCAGCAUCUACAUAGGUCUUCAUUUAUCACGAUUGAGGUCAGAGCAAGAAUUAUUUCUCUAAAAGUUAUCUUAAGUAUUAAUGCAUAUAAAUGUUGUUCUAACUAAAUUUUUGUCACUAUAGGGAUAUCGCGGGGUUCAGUUCAUAGAGCAUGGCCGCAAAUUAAACCAGUGGGAUCUUGAUCAUCCAGCCGUGCUAGAUCUGCUACGACAGUCUGGAUUCUAUUAUAUCUCUCGACUUAGGCGUCUGCAACUGGAUCAGUCUUUAUUAGAAGCUCUGGUCGAGAGAUGGAGACGGGAGACCCAGACAUUUCACUUCCGCCACGGUGAGAUGAUGAUUACACUUCAGGAUGUGGCGGUUAUUUCUGAUCUUCGUAUCGAUGGAGCGCCUGUCACGGGGACUACAGUGUAUCCGUGGCCAGAGAUGUGUCAGGCACUUUUAGGGGUUGUGCCGGAUGACAUCCGAGCUAGGCAGAUUAGAUUAGAUUGGAUAUACCAGCACUUUUUGUCACGCCCCGCCUCGAAACCACUACCGAUUUGGCACGGUUCGGCCGCGGCGACGGACCGCCGAACACCCACUUCCUUGUCACUUGUUACAGUAACUUGUAAUAAUAAGCUUGUACUUAGCUUAAGCAAUCGUACUAUCAUUUGGAAAUGAUAUACUACGUACGUAAGUAAUAUGUACUAAUACCCGUAUCAUCGUAUCUAAAGGAAAUACAGAAAUUACGAAACUCUAUAGAUAGAUAGAUAGAUGGACAACAACGAACACGGGUGAACCUGGAUCACCCCUCUAGCCGUCUCAGCCGCCGGCUCGGGUGACCCUUGAUACCUUCUAUCAAGAGUGGGGUGAGAUAAAGGUCACCAUCCAAGUCCCGACGUCUCUCUCCUGGCGCCGUUCCCGCAGCGCGGGCUGGUCACUCUGGCACCAUCAUAUCAUCGAAAGGAAAAACGUAAUCAGUGGAUACAUAACUCUCUCUAAGAACAUCCACUCCAACCUCUCGAUACAUAAAACCUACUUUUUACUACAUUACUUACAUUGAUUACAUUAUCAAUCAUUUAAUGAGAGAAAUAAAGUGAACAAAUAGAGCACCUAAUGAACGAGAAGACCAACAACCGUGACAAACACGGGAGCAACUUACACAUACAAAUCUUAAAUUUAAGGACCCAUUUAAGAACAUGUGUAAGGACAACAACUCGGAACUCGCCCGUCCCCUCCACGACAGGNCACCCAAGCCCGGGACCGUCUGCGGACCUCCAAGUGGUCCGGACCUCCAAGUGGUCCUAGUCGCGCGACACUCCGGAGUACUCGACGACAAUCCCCUCCAUGUGGGGAUCGGAUGGCUAUGCCACCCUGAACGCAGACUGUGAGCUAGAUCUAUCCUCUUCAAGUGAGGACACUCUACAACUAGAGUCAAUACCCAAUCGAAUCCUCUCCAAGUGAGGACGCCCUACACAAGGGUCAACGACUAUCGCGGAAUCAUUGGUUCCCGACAUUCAUGCAAUGUUAUUUAGUUUUCUAAAUUCAUUGUUCACAAGGCAUUCUCUAAGGGAUCCACCUAUCCCUAGGUCCUUCGACCUCUAGUGUUAUUUACACUACGUUAAUGCCACUCGUUAUCAUUCAAUAUUUGGAUGCCACUCGUUUGUUCUUUGACAAUAACACUACUUUCUAUGUCAUCAAUACCCCCGUCGGGUUCAUCUCUAUCUUUAGCAUCAUAGGAUCCACGUUCCGACCCAAUCCUCACCUAUCUAGUUACCAAGCGUUCCAAGUACACUAGGUUAUCAUUUAGAAAGCAUAAGGAUGGAGCUACCAUGCAAUCCUACAAUGCAACAUGUAAGAGAUGAGAUUAAAUGCAAUCUAAGACAUAGAAAGGAGUUCGAAAGUUUCGGAUGACACCCCCCACCUUGUUACCAAUGUAGAGGCUUUGGAAAUUCUUGUCGGCGAGCUUUGCAAAAAGGCUUUAGCCUUCCUCGCCCGAAUCAAUGCUAGCCCGGCCCAAUUUUGCCGAGAACUCCACGUCGGUUCGCCGAAUGCCAAAAUCGACUUCGCCCCCGCGUUUUGGGACCUAUCAAUAGGGUUUCCAAGGCUUCAAAUGAGAUCAAUCUCAUACAUUUACAAAAACCUCAUUUUGGAACCCUAGAUUUGCACCUAUAGCAAAUCACCCCAUAAAUCCCUAGAUUCUUGGGAUUGAUCUAUUUAGAAGCUUGCUUAGGGUCCAUUUGACCCAUUCCAAGGCAUAAAACCCAAAGACCCUAAGUUCUAGAAGCUAGGGUUAGUAGCUUACCUCAAGAGCUACUCCAAUGGGAAGAGGAGAGGGAGUUGGAGGUGCUCAAAGCCUUCCUCUUGAUCUCCUUCUUCUUCUCCUUCCUUAUCUUCCUCUUCUUUUCCUUCCUCUCCUUCUUGUUCUUCUUCUCCUUCUUUCCUUUCUAGAGAGAGAGAGAGAGCAAGAGAGAAAUGAAAGUGAGAGAGAGAGGAAAUGAGAGAGUGUGAGGGAGAGAGAGGGCUCAGCCCACUCAAAUAAAUGCCAUUUUGCACAAAAGCCCCUCAACUUUCACCCCUGUGCACUGCCCUUACUGGGCAGUUUUCGCGCGGAGGGACCGGUCUCCCCGACUUGGGACCGGUCCCCGAGAGCUUCCCUCGGGCGCACGCGUUCGGGAACCGGUCUCUCCCCGGGAGACCGGUCCUCGGGAGACCGGUCCUCACCUGAGAGACCGGUCCCCGAGAGCUUGAUUUUCAGGACUUAGCUAAUUUUUGGCAUCUCACACUUGGGCCACGUUCGGGAACCGGUCCCUCACCACCAGGGACCGGUUGCAUCACGCAACCCCGCAACACCCAGCCGAGGGAACCGGUCUCUCACCUGCAGAGACCGGUCCCCGAGAGCAACUUCUGCCCAAUGAUGCCAUUUGCCUCAUUUGCUCUCGCGGACUCAACUCCAAGGCACUCUUUGUGCUUUGGACAUUCUCAACUCCCACCAAGGGUUUACUUGCGACAAUCAGUCGAUCCUGGGUGAAGUACAAUCCUCGUAUUUCGAGAAUUCACUUCCUUACACUUUUAUCAUAUAUAUUUGGAUGCCCCGGCUAGAUUAGUUGCAGCCACAGCACGUGCAUAUAUGUUAUAUCAGAUUAGCUGUAGUCUAUUUUCAAACCCCACCGGAUAUGGAGUUCACCUUAAGUGGCUGCCAUUUAUAGCGGAUUUUGAUGCAUGUGGCGGUUUAGCCUGGGGUGCAACAGCACUGGCCUAUCUAUAUCGAGCAUUGGGAUCGGCUGCAUUAAAAGGAAAGGUCGAAUGCUGUUGCUUCGCGACAUUAGUACAGGUAUUAUGAGUAAUAUAUAAUAAUUGUUAUAUAAAGCUUCUCCUUUUUAAUUUCACUUGUUUAAUUUAUUGUCAUUUAUUUAUAGAUUUGGGCGUGGGACCAUCUUCAUGUCGGCCCACCUACUAGCGUUGGAGCUAUUGCCGACAUGGCUGAUUGCCCUUUGGGUUGUCGAUAUGAUAUAUGAAUUUGAUACAUAUUACAUUUCUAUAUAUACAUUUGCAACUAACACGUAUACUUUUCCAAUAUUAGGUGGACGAACGCCGGCGUGUUACGUUUUGGAGCAAACGUUAGAACAACAGAUAUUGAAUUCUACCAAGAUGAGUUAGAUCAGCAGAGAAAGUCCCAGGUACGUAUUAAUGCUACCAAUUUUUUUAAUAUACAACCGUAUUAAUGCAUUCAGCUGACUAUUAUUGGCUUUUUCAUAGAUUACAUAGCGGCCGUACACAGAUGCUAUUAUAGAUGCGCUAUCGGCAUUCUAUGUACAGGGCAGUGAGGUAUGGUGAUCGAGGACGACACUGAUUUCUUUUCAUAUCGUUGAGCUUCACGUGCCGGAUCGAGUCCUACGGCAGUUUGGUCUCCACCAGCAUAUACCCAUUCAGGUGGAGACCAUCCGUCGCGUCACAUCUCAGGGGGCGGCCAGAUGAGGAUUGGACCCAUUUUCAUGCUGCACACAUCAAGAGAUGAGGACAAAGAUUACAGGCCAUUAUUGACCAGCAUCCGAUUGUCGAUGAUGACUCGGUACAGGCGACUUCUAUUUAUAUGGAGUGGUAUUGGCAGAUCACGAGAAGAUGGAUUUCUCGUCCAGUACAGCGUCCACUAUUGACUUACCAGCCUCGGGGCCAGAUCGAGAGAGCUUUGGUACGAUCACUCAUAUGCUAAUUAUUUUUUUAAUCAUAUAUAUAUUAUAGAUUGCCAAAAGUGAGUUUUUAUCGAUAAUGCAGGUAGACGCAUUACGACAGUCUCAGUAUAGCAUCGGACAGCUAGUUCGUGAUCAACCUUCUUACGAUACGAUGCUGGAGAUAUUGACGGGCAUGUAUGCCCACAUUGAGUCAGUACUGGAGUACAUUCCUUUCAUACCUAUUGCCGCUGAUAUCGGAGGUCGAGAUUUUGGUCAUGCCUCGACAUCGGGUCAUCACAAGAGACAAUCACCGACAUCUACUGGAUCAUACUCGAGAUCGAGCCUGCGAGUGUCACGAUCUCCAUCUCCUACUGAUGUUGCAGAUAUGCCCGCCGCCCCUUCAAGAUUUCCUUCUUGCCAUUGGACUUGGACUCGCUUCCGCCGCCAGUCUCUCGAGAGCACUUUAGAUUAGUCUACUAUUGACGUCAUGCCGCGUCAUCAUGACAGGCCCGCCUAGCAUCUACAUCGGCCACUAUCGAGGGUGAUCGACCUGAGCCAGAGGAGACUCAUGCGAUUCCGGAGCAUCCCGAGGGCAUUAUCAUUGCGGAUCUCGAUCAGAUGGCCGGUAUCGAGGCACUUGAUGACGUACCUACUGCUGAGCUCGAUGUACAGGGUGGCCGUAUGUGACACCCCAAUAGUCCCACAUCGGAUGGAAAAGGGGUUGUCAUUGGGUUUAUAUGAGACUUAGACACUAGUAAUAAUAACUGGGCUUAAGCAUUUUGGGCCGGUGGUUGGGCCCAACGAGUUAUUGUUGCUAGUGGGCUGGGUCGUUACAUUUGGUAUAAGAGCCAGUUUACCAGCUGGACAUGUGUGGCGAGUCUCGGCUGAGCCAAGGUCUAGAUGACGGGCUAGCGAGACGAGUCUCACAUCGCCUGGUGAUCUUGGGCUGUGUGUGUGAUUGGACUGACGAGGACGUCAGGGCCUUAACGGGGGGAGUCUGUGACACCCCAAUAGUCCCACAUCGGAUGGGAAAGGGGUUGUCAUUGGGUUUAUAUGAGACUUAGACACUAGUAAUAAUAACUGGGCUUAAGCAUUUUGGGCCGGUGGUUGGGCCCAACGAGUUAUUGUUGCUAGUGGGCUGGGUCGUUACACUGUAGAUGUGGACGUGGCCGUGGCCAAGGAUGUGGCCGAGGACGUCGAGGGAGAGGAAGAUCAAGAGACUGAUUGUAUAUUUUUUUUAUUUUGAGAGCAUUCGUUGUAUAAUAUUAUAUAAUACUUUAUUUAGUUCAUAUUUGUAUAUUUGUCUGUGUUUUUUUUAUAUUUUUACCUAGUUGAUUGUAUCUUGUUAUUCCACUUGUGAUGUUGUGUUUCUUGUUGGAAUAUUUGUUAUCGUGAAAAAACUUGCCUCAAACUUGUUCUAACUUGUUUUUAAAAUCGAGCUGAAUUUAUCACCUGCUGCAUGUUUGCACUAAAGGCGGUGAAUGGUUCACCGCCUCUAGUGCAAAUCCACGAAGCCCUCCACGAAGCUGCAAAAAAAUGGCUAUUUCCUAGACUGGGGGCUGUUUACAUUAAAGGCGGUGAACUAUUCACCGCCGUUAGUGUAGCACAAAUAAGACGGUAAACCAUUCACCGUCUUAUCAGUGUUUUAGCCCGAACUCCAGGACUUAGCCAAAUUAGGCUGGGUGGGAGUUUACUCUAAAGACGGUAAAUCAUUGACCGUCUUAUGAAGACGGUGAACAAUUCACCGUCUUAUAUAGGCCACAAAACCGUCGACUUUUGCGGGGAUUUGCUGCGAAGGUGGUGAAUGGUACACGCCUUCAGAAGGCGGUCAACCAUUCACCACCUUCUCUAGGACACCUUGGCAAAGCCGGGGUUGGGAUUUGCCGAGAAGACGGUAAACUAUUCACCGCCUUCUCUAGGGCACCUUCGGAAAGCAGGGGAGGGGUUUUGCUCUAAGGGAAAGCGGGGGAGCGGUUUUGCUCUAAAGGCGGUGAAUGGUGGUGAACGAUUCACCGCCUUAUGAAGAUGGUGAACGAAUCACCGUCUUUGCGAGAAAAAUCUGAGGUGGCGCCGACGUGGCGAAAUGAGGGUUAGUUUUACAAAUAAAUUUUUCAGAGGGUCAUUUUGCCAAUUACAAAAUUUUACAGGGUUAUUUUCAAAAAAAGCCCUGAUAUUAUUAUUAUUAUUAUUAUUAUUAUUAUUAUUAUUAUUAUUAUUAUUAUUAUUAUUAUUAUUAUUAUAAAAUAUUAUUAGUGAACCAUACACUACAAAUAUAAAAUAUUUUAACAAUAAAUUUUUAAUUAAUAUUUUUAUAUUUAUAUUAUUUUAUUAUUUUAACUAUUAAUUCAAUAAAUUUAAAUAAAUAUAAAAAUAAUUUAAAUUAGUUUAUAUAAGGUUUUCUUUUUAAUAUUUAGCCCCUCAAACAAAAAUUUUCAUAAAUAGUCCGAUAAAAUUUAUAUUUGCAAGAUUAGUUGUAUUCCCGCCACGGAAGCGCCAUAUAAGCGCCACGUGAGUAUGGAUGAUGGUGCAGAUUAAAUUGAACAUGGUGAAUCAUUCACUGUGUAGGAACACGGUGAAGGAUUCACCGUGUUCCAUUAUUUUCCUACCAAGUAAUAUUUAGGGUUAUGGUUUAGGAAAGACACGUUAAACCAUUUACUGUGUUCAACUUAAUAUUGCGCUCGCGUUGCGCUUCCAUAGUAGGGAUAGGGCCUAUCUUACAAUAUAAAUUUUGUGGGGCUAUUUGUGAAAAAGGAAAAUCUAAGGGGGCUAAAUGCAAAAAAAGCUCACUAUGUAUGAUAUAAUUUUUUGUAAAAAUUUACCAAUAAUUAAAUCAUUUUAUGAACGGAUGUGAAAAAAAAAAUUAUUAGAACGGAAACUACUAAAUUAUUUUUAAAAACUUUAUAUAAAUUUAAAAUUUAAUAAAUUUAAUAGAUAUAGUAAUUGUUAGUUAUUGGUUAUUUAAUUUUAUUUCAUUAAAAUUAAUUAUAAUUAUUGAAUUUGGCCAAAUUUUGAAUAAAAUUUAAUAAAAAUUUUGUUUAGUUAACUAAACCUAAUCAUAAAAAAUCAGAAAUUAUACAGAAAUUAGUUAAAAUUAAAUAAAUUUGAGAGAUCUAUUAAAAAGCAUCCUAAUAGUUGAAGGGGCUCUUCACAUAUUUUUUUACCAAUACUUUUUUUUUUUUGGUGAAAAUGUAAAAGGACAUCCUCACCUAUUGACAAUUUUGAUAUGGACCCUUUAUUUUUUCAGGCCAUUAUAAAAAAGAUCCCUAGUUAUUUUUUUUCCAUACAAAUUCAACUUUAAUUUUUAAUAUAAAUUAUUAUCUUACUUAAAUUAAAUUUUUAUUAAUGUACUAACACUAUUAACUAUUAGCUAUUAAAUUAUAUAAUUUUAUUUUACAAAUUUGGUAAAGUUCCUAAGAAAUUCUUAGAAUCUCUAAUUUAAUUAAUUCCAAUAAUUCAAUUCCAAGAAAAGAUAAAAAUUUAAUAAAUCUAAACAAUAAUUUAAGGCUAAAUUGCAAAAAAUGCUCUACCACUUUAUCUCUCGCCUCAAUAAUCCCCGCACUAAAAAUUACACAAAUUACUCUCCUAUAUUUUGCCAUUAUUUCAAAAAAGCUAUAAAAUUUUUUAAAAAUAANGGCCCCGCUGUUUGCUGUUCGGCUUUAAGACUUUAAUACAAUUUCUCAAGAUAAAUGACAAAAACUGCACUCCCCGCAACAGGGAUAAUAGUGCAACGCGAAAAAGCAAUGCCAGAAAAAAUGGUGCAACUGCCCUUCUAACAUGCAACGUAGGGUAAAAGACUACAACUGUGAUUGUAAUAGUGCAAUGUGGUCGACAGAAUAGUUCAAUGGUUUUAGGAAGCGGAGGCGUCGGAGAAGAGACCGAACAGCAAACACUAGGUGCGGAGUAGGAGGAGGCUCCACCACCUCUUUAUUGCCGCCGCCGCCGUGGCGCUUCACCUCCGCGCACCAGGGAUAAUAGUGCAAGGCGAAGGUUCUACGGCAGGAGAAAUAGUGGAACGAACCUUCUAACAUGCAACCGUAGCCUCGUUCUAGUGCAACCUCUCCAUAACCAAUCAAAAUUUUACUUAUUUUAUUUCAUAAUGUAAUCUUAAGCUAAUAGUAAAAAUGAAAGGACAUGGGGGCCGUCGAUAAUACCGGGGCGGAGUGGGAGGAGGCUCCACGAUGUCUUUAUCGCCGCCGCCGCCGUGUCGACUUCACCUCCGCGCGCCAGGGAUAAUAGUGCAACGCGAAGGUUCUAUGGUAGGAGAAAUGGUGCAACGGCCCUUCUAACAAUGCAUCCGUAGCAUCGUUCUAGUGCAAUCUCUCCAUAACCAUUCAAAAUUUUACUUAUUUUAUUUCAUAAUGUAAUCAUAAGCUAAUAGUGCAAAUGAAAGGGCAUGGGGGUCGUCGAAAAUACCGGGGCGGAGUGGGAGAAGGCUCCACCACCUCUUUAUCGCCGCCGCCACCAUGUCGACUUCACCUCCACGCGCCAGGGAUAAUAGUGCAAGGCGAAGGUUUUACGGCAGGAGAAAUGGUGCAACGACCCUUCUAACAGUGCAUCCGUAGCAUCGUUCCAGUGCAACCUCCCCAUAACCAUUCAAAAUUUUACUUAUUUUAUUUCAUAAUAUAAUCAUAAGCUAAUAGUGCAAAUGAAAGGGCAUGGGGGCCGUCGAAAAUACCAGGGCGGAGUGGGAGGAGGCUCCACCACCACUUCAUCCCCGCCGCCGCCAUGUCGCUUCACCUCCGCGGGCCAGGGAUAAUAGUGCAACGCGAAGGUUCUACGGCAGGAUAAUGGUGCAACAACCAGUCUAACAGUGCAUCUGUCACGCCCCGAGACCGGCACCAAUUUGGCCCGACCCGAGCACGUCAAACAGACGCCGAACGGACAGAGUUUCCCCUGUCCGCCCAAGGCUCAUCACAUGUACAAAAUUCAAACAAGAAUUGCACUAGCGGAAACAUACACAAACGGCUUACACGAGGGUAAGCAAAAGCCAUUAGUGAAAGAAAAAGGAAAACUAAACAUUCACUUGUACUAUGAUUCAGUUUUGAUCAUAUACAUUGCAUUCAUCUUGUUCAUUUUCGAAUUCCUUACAUUUCCUUACAUCAUUUCAUCAUUUCUUUCUUACAUCACGUUUACCUCAAAACAAGCUUUACAUUCUUUCUUUACAUCACUAAUCAUCAAGUACAAAAGAUGAUAAAAGGGUGUCUACUAACAAAAUGUAACCCAACAUUGGUGGCCUUUGACUACGGUGCGAUACCUUUACCGCGGUCGCUCGCCGGCUCACUCGGUCCCGGCUCUGUGGAAAUAGUGGGGUGAGAACUACAACAAAGUUCCCAGUGGGUUCGGCCUCAACAUCACCGACUUUCCCACUAGGACUAACUCAGGCAUAAUAGAAAGGAUAAGCUGAAAUAUAGUAACCAAUCUACAACAUGAUGCUAAUAUGCCUGAACAAAAUCAAGGAAUAUGCUCAACAUUAAACAGAUGCAGAUUAUGCAAGUUCUUUCGUUCUUUACACUUUACACUUUACACUUUGUUCUUUGCUCUUUGUUCUUUACUCUUUAAUCUCAAGGCUAACCCGGGGGUUUCGCCACAUUAACUUGCUUCACAUUAAGUCCAUCAUCGCAGGAACUCACCCGCUAGGACCGUCCUUACGGGUUUACUCCAACACGGAUGCAUAACUCCGGAGCGCAUCGCCGAGGGGAAGCGACCGGCCUCGAGACGUCGAACUAAUAGCAAGCAUGAUCAUAUCCUUACUGCAAAUGAUUUUAAUAAGUUCAAUCUUGACUUUACACUAGCUUUAGUGUUCAUUAUACUCAUUUAUGUUGGCAAAUCAUGCAAUCACGAAUUCUUUCGUUUUUUUAUUUUGCUAACUCUAGCAAUUUAUUCUUUACAUCUUUCUGUUUUGGCCCUACUCCUAGCACUUCGUCGUUCUAUUAUUUCCCACACUCUACUUUUAACCUUAAAAACAUAGUCUUUUUAUCAUUUCCUUUACAUUGCGUUUUGGUUCGUUUGCACUCACACGUACUCUAGUGUUCUCUUUACUUUACAUUUUAAUGGCCACUCGAUUCAUACUGUCAUUUGCACUCUGUUCGAUUUUGCUCACUUUGGAAGUACUCCAUUCUUUCUCUAUGCAUACAGUCUAGUGUUUUGGACAUUAUUAGGUGUCGUAACCAUUCAUUAUGCAAGUUAGUGUCACAAUCAUGCAAUUCAUACAUUUCAUCCUUACUUACCAUAAAAUGCAUGCAACAGUAUAUAGAAAAUGAUGCUCAAAGAAUGGACACAUUAAGGAUGAGAGAAUUUCAAUCGAGUUUUGAAAAAGCUCCCCUGAUGAUAGGUCUUAUUUAGGUGCUCGGUGUUUCUUGGUGAUUUUUAUGAACAGUCAUAUUGUUUCUGUUACCAUAACAGGCAAAACACGAACUUUUUAGGUUCCCAUUUUGCCCUUACUUGCUUUGACUUUCGUUAAAGUUUAUAAAGUUCCCUUAGACGCCAACCAGAGCCGUCGGAAAUAACCCCCAAUCUAGAUUGUUGUAAGCUGUGCAAUUGUCAACUUAGAAAUCCCCAUGAGCACAAAAUGCUUUCAUUUGGGUCGGCCCUAGUCCAAUGUAAAUCAAAAGACUAGGGGAUCAAUUGAUCUCAUUGGGAAGCAAAGUAGCUUAUGUACACUCUAAUUAUUCCAUUAAACCCAAUUAUUAGGCCUUUCAAAACCUAGUUAGUUGGAUAUUCACCAUAGAGGUGGGUUGAAGCUCACCUUGAGCUCAACCAUGGUUUUGAUCUUUCUAAAGAAGCAAAAGAAAGCUUAAUACUCUUAAAAACUCACAUAAAAACAAUUCUAGGCUUACCCAAACCCUAGUUUGGAGAAUCAUCGAAAGGGGCAAAGCUUACCUCAAGCUUGCCUAACUUGACUAAGAGAGAAGAAGAUGAAGCUACCUUUUGAUAGAAUGAUGUUUCAACUUCUCUUUGAUCUGUUUUUCACUUCUCGUUCUCUCGUCCUUCCUUACCUUCUUUUCUUCUUUCUCUUCUCUACCUUUGAUAUUCUUGUGAGAGAGGGAGAGAAGAGAGUGUGAGAGGGUGAGAAUGAGAGAAAUGUCUCAUUUACCCCAAUACUAUACUCAAUGGGUUGCAAAAUUGCAGCUAAACCCCUCAACUUUCACUUUAAUACACUGCCCGAACUGGGCAGUUCGCGCAGGCAGGGACCGGUCUCUCCCUUUAGGGACCGGUUCCCGAACGUUGUCCCAGCACAGCCAGAGCUGCUGCGCGCAGUGCAACCGGUCUCUCUCUGUGGGACCGGUCUCUCGGGGACCGGUCUCUCAGGCAGGGACCGGUUCCCGAGAGCUACUUUCUCAGGACUUAGCCGAUUUUCCGGCUGUCUCAUUUCAUACGCAUUCGGGGACCGGUCUCUCCCACUAGGGACCGGUCCCCGAGAGCUGAAAAUCUGCAGUUUUGCAGAAUUUGAUUCUUUAGCUCUCGAAAACCUUCCACAACUCACUUUUGAUCAUUUUUAACACCUUCGGACUUUCCGAAGUGUGCCAUCCUCGCACUUUGGUCAAUUUGACUAAAGUUCGACAUUUAUUUUCCGAAUUUUCGGUAUAUUACAACAUCCGUAGCCUCGUUCCAGUGGAACAUCUCGAUAACCAGUCAAAAUUUUACAUUAGGAAGCUUUCAUGCACUCUUUUACCGCAUUUUGUAUUAUCGUCAAAGUCAAUGAAUAUUUUUAUACUAUAUUAAUAAAGAGAUCCCUUUCUUUACAUUGUUACGUCGUGGAUCUAAAUACAUCUGUAUAAUUUAUUAUUUUGUUGCACUGCGUUGAGCAUUAUUACACUAUUACAGCUAAUUUUGCACUAUUACUUCCGUCCAAUAUGCCAUUCUUUGGCUAUUUAACACGAUUAAAAAGUGCAACGCAUUGUAAACGAGCUCAACCAUGUUCAUUUAAGUGCAAUAAUAUCGUAGUAAUCGUUCAAUAGUUUAAAGUAAUGGUGGAACGACUCAAACCUUUUAUACAGUGCAACCUUUCCCGAGGAAACUUCGUUGUGUCCGCCGGUGUCCCUUCGCCUCACUUACCGGCCACCGCCAUCUUCGCUCACCCACUCGAGUAUAACGUUCACAUCAAUGUACUUACACUGUCGCAAUAUUUAAUGCGACUGGCGUGUGAAACGCUAUUCGCCAUUGCCGGUGUUUGCUGUUUGUUUCUCGCUAUUGUCUGUUUGUAGUGCUUACGUUUUAUGUUUUGUAUGGAUUCUUACGCUGUUUUCUGAAUAGGUUGGCCCAUACUAGCAUCCCACUAACUUUCAAACUGCUGUCGCUCCCCAUUACCCUAUUCUAAACCUUCACUGCGAAGCAAACUGCCUUGCAACCCCCAUAUUUCCUAGCAACCGCAUUGCUCUUUGUGACCACCAUCUUCUGCUUCGAAUCCCAUCGGUCAAGAAACGACCUAUCUAAAUCUACGUAGCUUGUAAUGGCGUCGAAGUCGUCGCAUUCUACUGAUUCAUUGGCUUCCGGCGGCCGCAAGGCACCUUCGCGGCCGGUUGCCGGCGGCCCCGCCGAUAGAUUCAUUGUGAAUUCGCGGUGUUUCGUCGGAGCAUACAGGAAGACUUAUGCAUCUGUCGUGAAGCCGCAUCAUCUCCCCGUUAUCCAACGGACGGUAUUCGGUAAUAUCUUACACUUCCCCGACAUCACCUCAGAUAGGCCCAUGCUGGAGUUAAUCCUCCGACAUUGGAAGGAGGGUGUAGAAUUCGAAAUAGGCCCUCAAGUUAUACGCUUCACAGCCAAGGAGGUGGCAGUUCUUCUUGGAUUACCCCUGUCGAGCCAGGCUCUAGACCUAACCCUCAAUUUAGGGUCGGAUAUUCAUAAUCAGUUUCUUGAGAGAAAGAAGGUCGACCGCAAGAACCUGGAGGUGAUGUUAAAGGAGAUGUCAAAUAAGCAGGGUGAAGAGGACAUUACCGACUUCGUCAAAUUACUUAUUGUUUAUUUUUUUUGUUGUAUUCUUUUCACCAAUACCAAUAAUCUCUGCCCCGAAAGACUGGUGGGGCUUGUAGAUGAUCUCCCCACACUGUCACGGUACAAUUGGCUGGAAGCAGUACACCGGCUUAUAAUUGACAGCCUAUGCUCCGCCGCGGCCAAAUUGCAAGCUAAUUCGAAGCGGGUAGGAUACGUUCUUGGAUGCACCCCGCUUCUCCUAGUAAGUGUAUAUUGUUCAAGUAAUCGUGCAAGAUAAUUAUUAUGUGUUUUCAAUCGUUCAUGCGUGUACAGAUUUGUAGUGUAAUCGUGCGAAAAUAAUCUAUUGUAUGCUUAAAUCUAGUAACUGUGUAAUGUAAUAUACCGAAAAUUCGGAAAAUAAAUAUCGAACUUUAGUCAAAUUGACCAAAGUGCGAGGACGGUACACUUCGGAAAGUCCGGAGGUAUUAAAACGAUCAAAAGUGUGUUGUGGAAGGUUUUCGAGAGCUAAAGAAUCAAAUCCUGCAAAACUGCAGAUUUUCAGCUCUCGGGGACCGGUCCCUGGUGGGAGAGACCGGUCCCCGAACGCGUAUGAAAUGAGACAGCCGAAAAAUCGGCUAAGUCCUGAGAAAGUAGCUCUCGGGAACCGGUCCUUGUCCGAGAGACAGGUCCCCGAGAGACCGGUCCCCCAAAGAGAGACCGGUUGCCCUGCGCGCAGCAACUCUGGCUGCGCGGAGAGAGCCUUCGGGAACCGGUCCCUGAAGGAGAGACCGGUCCCCGAGCCCGAAAUCUGCCCAGUCCAGGCAGUUGAAUAAGAUGAAAGUUGAGGGGUUUAUUUGCAUUUUUGCAACCUAUGGGUUAUGUAGAGGGCUGAGAGAGCCUUUUCUCUCAUUCUCUCCCUCACACACACUCCCUUCUCUCCCUCUCUCUCUCUAGAAGACAAAGGAGAAGAGAACAAAGAAAGAAAAGAAGGAAAAGAAGACAAAGAAGGUGAAGAAGAAGCUUUUGGAGCAAAGAGGCUUCAUCUCCUUCUUCUCUAGUGCAAGAAAAUGAAGCUUACAAGGUAAGCUUUGAACCCUAAUGUAGUAAAACCCUAGAAAUGGGUUUGAAUGAACCUAGAAAUGGUUUCUAAUGGAAUAUCUAGUAGUUUGAAGCUUUCUUUUUGCUUCUUUAGAGAUCAAAACCAUGGUUGAGCUCAAGGUGAGCUUCAACCCACCUCUAAUGGUGAAAUCUAAUCUAGGAUUUUGGAAAGCCUAAGAAUGGUUCUAAUGGACUAUUUAGAGUAUAUUGAAGCUACUUUUGCUUCCCAAUGAGAUCAAACCCUAGGUUUUGAUAUACAUGGGAGCUAGGGCACCCAAAUUGGGGCUUUUGCUCAUGAGGGUUUCUAAGUGCAAUUGGCCCUCUAGAAAUCUAAUUGGGGGUAUUUCCGACGCGUUGGUGCGUUCGAAUUAACGUUACGAAAAGUCUAUAGAAAGAUAUGGGCAAAAUAGCCUAAGUUGGCUUCGUUUUGCCGCAGGUGAAGAACGAGGAGCCUAUAAAUCCCAAGAAAAUCGUCGGAGCACCUAAAUAGACCUACGAGGUGGGUGGUGCUUCUCAAACUCAUUGAACUUCUCUCUAUGCCUAAUGUGUCAUUCAUUGAGCAUGUGUAUAUAUAUUGUUGCAUGCAUUUUAGGUAAAGUAAUGAUGAAAAUGUGAUGUUGCAUGAUUGUGAGUACAACUUGCAUAAUAUGAUGAAUAAGAACUAUGUAAAUGUCAAAAACCCUAUGUGUAUGCAUGAGAGAAAAGUGAGCACCCAAGGUGAGCAAAAGAACAGAGUGACACAAUGACAUAGAUCGAGUGGCAUUUGAUAAAGUUAAAGUGAAAUGACACUAGAGAUAGUGUGAGGUAAAGAACCAAUGUAAUGUAAAGAAUGACGAAAAUGACAAUAUGUAUAAAGUUAAAGUAAAGUGGGGCAAUAAGAACAAGAAAUGUAAAGAACAAGAAUGUUAAAGAUGGCAAAAGUAAAAGAAAAGUAAAGAACAAUGAUUGCUAGAGUUAGCAACAUAAAGUGAUGAAAGAACACUAGAGCUAGUGUAAAGUCAAGAUUGAACUUAUAAAUCCUUUGAGUUAAGGAUAUGAUCAUACUUGCUAUGAGUUCCGUGCUCGAGGGCGGUCGCUCCCCCUCGGGCGAUGCGCUCCGGAGUUAUGCAUCACGGGUUGGAGUAAACCCGAAGGACGGUCCUAGCGGGUGAGUUCCUGCGAUGAUGGACUUAAUGUGAAGCAAGUUAAUGUGGCGAAACCCCCGGGUUAGCCUUGAGAUUAAAGAAUAAAGAACAAAGAGCAAAGAACAAAGAACAAAGUGUAAAGAUAAAGAACGAAAGAAUUUGCAUAAUCUGCAUAUGUUAAUGUUGAGCAUAUUCCUUGCUUUUGUUCAGGCAUAUUAGCAUCAUGUUGUAGAUUGGUUACUAUAUUUCAGCUUAUCCUUUCUAUUAUGCCUGAGUUAGUCCUAGUGGGAAAGUCGGUGAUGUUGAGGCCGAACCCACUGGGAACUUUGUUGUAGUUCUCACCCCACUAUUUCCACAGAGCCGGGACCGAGUGAGCCGGCGAGCGACCGAGGUAAAGGUAUCGCGCCUUAGACAGAGGCCACCAGAAUUGAGUUGGGUUUGCAUUUUGAUAGUGGCUACCCUAUGUUCAUCUUCUGUACGUGAUGAUUAGUAAUGUAAAGAAAAGAAUGUAAUGUGUAUUUUGAGGUAAAUGUGAUGUAAGAAAGAAAUGAUGAAAUGAUGUAAUGAAACGCAAAGAAUCCUAAAUGUAAGAAAUGGAUGCAAUGUAUAUGAUCUAAAAUGAAUCAUAUUACUUGUGUAGAAGUUUAGUUUUCCUAUCUUUCACUAAUGGCUAUUGCUUACCCUCGUGUAAGCCGUUUAUGUAUGUUUCCGCUAGUGCAUUUCUCGUUGAAUUUGUACGUGUGAUGAGCCUUGGGCGGAUAGGGGAAACUCUGUCCGUUCGGCGUCUGUUUGACGUGCUCGGGUCGGGCCAAAUUGGUAUCGGUCCCGGGGCGUGACAGUGUAAACUCUAGUGUAAUAUUGUCUUUGUAUUCAGGUGUGGAUAUACGAGCACACUGGAUAUAGAUGUCCCCUGCCUUCCCAUCGUGCAAUAUUUUCUCGUGUCCAGAGGUGGGAUACGAUUAGAUGGUCUCGUCGUUCGCGGGGAUCAUCGAGAGUGAAGGAAGAUUUUAACUUCACUACAUGCUGCCGCAGGCUUGACCUCUCCCCGGAGGAACUACGCCUGGUGGGUGUCGUGGCUCAAGUUCCACGGCGCCACCGCCGCCCCAGGAAUGAGGAACCUCCGGGGGGUUAUAAAGAGGUGAUGGCGGCAAUUAGCCGUCUGGAGUCCGUGGUGUUCAGUCUUGCCACCUCCGUUGCCGGCAUACUGAGCAAUCCGGCACUCCUACCAGCACCAAAAUCCACCCUGGCACCUAUUGGAAGUAUCAAAAGCAAGAAGAGGAGACAUGAAGGAGUGCAAAUACCAAGCCCUCCACCGUCUAAAUCAUCUAAGCGAUCGACACAGGGAGCUAAAAAAGGAAAGAUAGGAACGUCCAUAUUGGCGAUGCCCGCACCGAUCUCGGCCAUUAAGGCGAAGCCCGAAAUCGGUAAAGAACGGUCGAGAUCUUCUUCGAAAUCUAGAAAGGAUGGGGCACGCCAAAAACUAGAGAGUCCGCCAAAGGCUCCCAAGGACUCUCGUAAAAAUCGCACGCUGGGGAGGGGCAAACGAUUUCGAAGCCGUACAAUCUCCGACCUCGCUGGGGAUGAAAGAAUAAAGCCGACGACCCAAUUGCCGACGUAUGCGACGUCCUUAUUAUUUUACAUUCUCAACAAACGAUUGAUUCUAAUAUGGCAUCUCCAUAAUAGUGUAACUCUACAAGACUUGGAUUAAUAAAAUCAUGUUUUAGUUCUAUAAUUGUGUAACCUUUAUUAUAAUCGUGCAUCAUAUUUUAGAGUAGUGUAACAUAGAACACAUUAUUUAUAUGCAGGUCCCCCCACCGAGACGGAGCGUCAAGUCACAAUCGCCGCGCCCGCUCAAUAUAUAUGAAGAAAAUAUCGAAGAAAGCGACAGUCGAACAGCGGGACUCUUCGCCAGCGAGUCAGUUUUGCAUAGAGAUGAAGUAUGUAAUAGUGUAAGUUGUAAUUAAAUAGUGUAAUUCCUAACGAAUUUGUUUAUGUGAUGUCAAAUAUUUUUUGAAAAUGUCAGCUGAUGGACAUCGUCAUCGAAAUAUGUGAAGACAUCCAACCGUUAUCUUCACUACUAGAGGUGCCGGCGGCAGAGGAAAAGGGGGAGGAGGAGGCCGCGGAGAAAGCGGCCGCCGAGAAAAUUGUGGAGUCGGCUGUUGGGGCGGUGGAGGUGGAGGUUGCACCAGUGACAGCGCCGGCGGCGGAGGAUGCAUGCUCUGAGGAAAAGUUGGAGGCGGCGACAGCUCCGGCGGAGGAUGAAGAAAAGGAGGAGGUGGAGGCUGCACCAGUGACAGCGCCAGCGGCGGAGGAUGCAGGCUCUGCGGAAAAGGUGGAGGCGGCGACAGCACUGGCGGAGGAUGAAGAAAAGGAGGAGGUGGAGGCUGCACCAAUGACAGCGCCGGCGACGGAGGAUGCAGGCUCUGAGGAAAAGGUGGAGGCGACGACAGCUCCGGCGGAGGAUGAAGAAAAAGAGGAGGCGACGGCGGCGGCGGAGCAUGUGGUUAAGGAGGCGAAGGCGGCGGCUGAUGAUGUGGUAAAGGAGGCGAAGGCGGCGGCGGAGGAUGUGUUCCCGGCGCCUACCCACACUGCGAAGUCUUCCAUGCCGGAACCCAGCACUAUACCGGUAUGUGAAUAUUGCACUAUUAUCGAUCUUUAAUGCGAUUUAGCUUAUAAUAGUGUAAUAAGGUCCAGUAAUGGUGUAAUUCAUUGAGUGUAACAGCUUAUAAUAGUGUAAUAAGGUCCAGCAAUGGUGUAAUGCAUUGAGUGUUUAACUCUUUAUUUGAUUUCUAUACAGCCCCCAAUAAUUAUCGACAUCCUGGAGUUGAAAGAAACGUAAAAAAAACAAAAGGCCCAAAAACUUAAAUUGAAGGUACCAUUAUCUUCAGCUAAUCGGGAUUUAAAAUACGACGGCAAGGGAGAGUUACCAAAGGAGGAUCAAGAGCGAAUUGAAAAAUUCCUGACAAGUACCAAUACCGAACCAGUAAGAGUGCCUUCGAAGGGUAUUGACAUCGGGAGGAUUGACUUCAUUGACCUAACAAGUCAUAUGGCCUUUGUCAGCUCUGAUAUUAUCGACGCCUACCAGCAUUUACUGGAGUAGGCAGAAGGCCACAAGUGCAUAUACACCACGUCCUUCCUUUGUCAGACAAUAGGAACAUCAAUGAACCCCGCCGAGAUGUUUUUGCAAGACAUCAACGAGGAGGUGAUUACUGGGGCAAAGUACUGGUUCAUCCCACUCUUCCACUCCGACCACUGGCAUUUGCCAGCGGUCGAUCUCCAAGCCGGAAAGUACAUCCACCUAUCGUCCAUUAAAAAUCCUAAAUACAACGCUGGGUUUGAGACAGCGGUAAGUAUUUUCUUUUUAUAUAUAUAUAAAANUAUAUAUAUAUAUAUAUAUAUAUAUAUAUAUAUAUAUAUAUAUAUAUAUCGUCCAGUAAAAACCAGGCUUUCUAAUUAGUCCAAUGUUUUCUUAUGUAGUGUAAAUACAUAGGUAAUUUUUUGCAAAAUAAAUUUUUCGAUUUGUUUCUUCGCCGCGGUACCCGUCCAGUCGACUGGGAGAUGAUCAACAGGGAUGACAUCCCGAUGCAAGAUCAAUCAAAUGAUUGCGCAAUCUUCCUUUUAACAUACGAAGAAUACUUGCAGAAGGGGUGGAACUUGAACUUCUCCCAGAAAGAUAUAACGAAGAAACGCGAGGAGAUAACAACAGAAUUUUUGCGGCAUUUUUACUCACAAUAAUUCUAGCCUUAUUCAUUCGAUUAACAAAUCUUUAAUUUGUAUAGUCAAUUUAUUUUUAUUGACUCCAUCCGUGUAACAGUGCAAUGUAAUGUACAUAAUGGUGCAUUUUAUUGUAAAAGUGGUGUAAAAAAAUUCAUCUUAUAUUAUAACGGUGCAAUGUAAUAGACAUAAUAGUGCAAUUUUUUGAAGAAGUGGUGUAAAAGAAUUCAUGAUGAUUGUAACGUUGCAAUGUAAUAGACAUAAUAGUGAAAAGUUGUUAAACGAAUCCACUUGUAUUCUAACGGUGCAAUGUAAUUGUCACGCCCCGAGCUCCGCCGAUUUGGUCGGAUUCGAGCACAUGACAGACGCCGAACUGACAGUACCUCCCCUGUCCGCCCAAGGCUCCAACAACAAGUAUAAUACAAGCAAAUCAACAAGGAGAAUUGCGAGAUAUAUUAGGUUUGCACGAGGGCAAACAACAACCACAGUGAAAGCAUCGAACUAACUAAACAUCCAACAUACAUGUCAUUUGAUCUCAUUUGAAUCAAACACAAGUAGUCAAACACAUUUACAUUCAUUACAUUAUUCUUGCAUUACCCAAAAUACAAUUUACAUUACAUCACUUUUACUUUACAAUUUCAACAUACAAAAGUUGAAUACAUCAAGAGUAGGGUAUGCCUAUAUAACUCCGGGGUCGCUAUCUACGGCGCGACUCCCUUGCCUCGAUCCUCCGCCGCCCCGCUCGCAUAUGGAUCUGCAGGGUUAGUGGUAAUGAGAACUAGAACGAAGUUCCCAGUGGGUUCGGCCGCCGACCACGCCGAUUCGCCCACUAGGUCUAAUUCAGGCAUAUGUAUUUCAAUAAAGAAGAAUAACAAACCAACUAAUGCACUUCUAAUACAAUGCCUGCAAAAAAACGAUUCACAGAUAGAUAUUCAUAUUCAAAUACAUGAUUAUUAUGCAUGCAUGUUCUUUUCACUUUCCUUUGGCCUUUACCAAAUCAACCUGGGGUGCUCCUGGUUUACCCCAACUCACAGUCCGCACAUCCAUCUAACGGGGGAGGCACAAGGCACAACCACCCGAAGGAUCUUCGCUGGGCACGUCCACCCGUGGUGCAUUUCUUCUCCGGAGUACACCGCCCGUGGAGGAGCGACCUCGCACAAGCCGGAACCAAUACAUGUGAGUAUGAUCCCAUCCUCAAAUUUGAGGAGGUAUGGCCAACCUGUCACUGUCUCAAGGCCGAUGAAUGGUUACAACCUAUUCAUGCACAUACCGUCACUUGCCAAUGUCAUGGUGGUCCUAAUGCCACAAUACACAUAAUGUCACUCUGGUAAAACCUUGUUUAACUAUUCACUCAUCGAUGUCAAUCGAGUCACUAAUGUCCAUGUCGCCUUUGUUUACUACGGUCACAGUCAUUUCUUACAUUCACAUGCAUAUAGGGUCUUUCACUAUUCUUGUUCACAUGUUUCUAUAUCAUUACAAUAAUCUCACGCAGAUAAUUGUCACAACCAACAUAUACUGUUCAUUACCCUACAUGCAAGAAUGCCAUAAUCUCAACAUGCUCAAAGAAAGGAUAUAGACAUAGAAAGAGAUCCGGUAUUUCCGGAUAGCACCCCCCACCUUUAUGUGUCACAAGGAUGCCACGAUUCUGAUUCCACGAUUUUUAGGCUUGUUCGCCGCGAGCUACGGCGAUCUGUACUAUUUCAACUUGUUUUCUCAAUAUCUUCGCGCACGCUCGUCGUAUCGCCGAACCGAGCGCACCGACGCGUUCGUAGACCUACCAAUUUGGUUAAAAUGAGAUCAAAUCCAAGUUUGAACCUCAAAAUUACAAAAUCCUAAAUAUAGGUCCCUCGACAAAGUCAUCUUCCCCAACAUAGGUCCUUACACAUGAGAAACUUGGGGAAAAUACUCUAACCCAUCUCCUAGAAGCACACUAGAAGGAAAAAUCCAAACUCUAGCUCAAAACCCAUGAGAACUCACCUUUGGAGUCCAAAGCUUCCUUCAAAAGCUUUGAUCAACCUUGCUCUACACCUUGGAGAGCUUCUUCUCCAAGCUUGCUCCUUCAAAUCCCCUCUUGGUCCAAGCCCUAAAGAGAGAGAGAGAGAGAAGAGAAGGAUUUUAGAGAGAGAAAGGGAAGGUUUUGAGAGUGAGAGUGAGAGUGAGAACAAAUGGUUCUCACUCAUGCCCUAGCUCAAAUAACCCUUCACAUGCCAUAUUUGCAUCUAAACCCCUCAACUUUUCAUUUUUACAAACAACCCUCACUGGGCAUUUUCGGGCUCGGGGACCGAUCUCUCCCCUUCAGGGACCGGUUCCCGAGAGCUACCCUGCACUCAGCGCAGAAGGGGACCGGUCUUCCCCUGAUGAAACUGGUCUCCGGGGACCGGUAUCCCGCCGAAGGACCAGUUCCCGAGAGCUCAGUUUCCAGGACUUAGCCGAUUUUUCCCUCUGCUUGGCUGAUCAACGUUCGGGAACCGGUCUCUCAUCCAAGGGACCGGUCCCCGAGAGUAAAAAUUCUGGAAAUUUUCCAGAAUUGCAGUUUCACUCUCUCGGGUCCCUUUAUACUUCAUAUAUAGGCUCCAAUACACUUUUAGCCUAUAGUAACUCAUUCCUUUCCGUGUUCCACUCAUUUCGACGGAACUCGGCACGAUUUACGGAAAAGUGAUAUGUUACAGUAAUAGACAUAAUAGUGCAAUUGAAUGUUUAAGUGCGGUAGAGAAUCCAUGUUGGAUUGUAACGGUGCAAUGUAAUAGACAUAAUAGUGCAAUUCAUUGUAGAAAUUGGUGAUUUGUUUACGGCUAUUACACUAUUUUAUUUCCAUUCCCAAACAUCGAAAGUUGCUUUACCUUCCUGAGGCGUAAUUCUCUUACAAUCCGGUAAUUAUAUGAGGCCCAUGCGCUAUACGCAACAGCGCCGUUUUAUGAAAGAGCAUUAAAUGCAAGCCAUUAAAGAGCCAUUAAUGCAGCAAGCGCGGGAAACGCAGUUUUAGGGCGACGAUAUUCUAUUCGCCAGAGCCAGUGUUUGCUGUUAGUUUUUUGAUUUUUUUAUUUAUAUGAUUUGGAAGUGCAGCAGUACUUGUCUCAAGGACUGAAGGGAAUAUAAAAUCUAAUGAUGUCACUGUCGAUAUAUCUUGUUGAGGUACAGUUGAAUAUGGCACAGUUACCGAAAUAACAUAUAGAAAUUGAAUUUGAAAUAUCAUUGCAAUAGAUAGCAUAAUAGUGUAACAGAAGUCAAAAUUAGUGCAAUACAACCGCAUAUGCAUGGUCGACUUGUCCAAAUGGUGCAAGGCUUGCGUCGUUUGGAAAAAAUUCUGGCGGAUUAGAAAUAAAUUUUGGCGGGAACAGAAGUAUUAUUUUCCGCCCCAUGCACAACUUAACAACUCAUGCACGUAAACUGGAUUAUAUUAUAUAUUGAUGAAAGAGUGUUUUUGAAUAACUUUUAGCUAAUUUUCUGUAUCCAACUCUUACAAGUGAUGGAUAACGCUGAAAUUCCAGUGCACUACAAUUUUAAUGAACGUUUUAAGGAGGAAGGAGGCAUUGUCAAUUAUGUAGGAGGGUCCAGCCGGCUCAAUUUCAUCAGGCAAGGCGAUAAUUUUAAUUCCCUGCAAGCAAUGUUCUGCAAGUACAUGAAUACUUCACAGGAAUCCUGCAAGAUCGAAAUUAAACUUAGCUAUAGUGGGAAUCUCAGCAAACUCAUUGACAUUGUUGACGACGGCGAUCUCGGAAACAUACGGAGACUCUAUAAAACCAACGCGUAUCUGAUGGAGCUUUAUGCUGUGAGUAACUUAGUCGAGAGAAAGGUUGCUACUUGUGAUCCCGAUGAUAUAAACGAAUUGCUUACAGACGAACAGCUGGAGCUGUUGAUUAACAGCCGUUCUGGGGAUGCAUUUACUCCUUAGCAGACACAUUUUGAAAAAGUUGGCUCGUAAGUUACACUAUUAUUUUUUUUGCACCAUUACCGAGCCUUAUUGCACUUGUAACCUCUUUAUUUUCAGCGGUUGCACUACUCUCAAUGCACUUUUGCACCAUUAUAUUUUACCUCAUUCAAUUGUAAGCAAUAUAUAUUAUACGAUUGCACUAUUACAUAAUUUUUUCAUUAUAUAUUAUUUUUAUGUUGCACCGGUUCGUAAUAUCUUGCAUCAUUACUUCGACCUCUUGCACCGUAUGAACUUUACACAUAAGGGUUCUUGUACUAUUUAAUAUUUACAAUGCACUCCUUGCAUGCUUUCACUUAUGGUGCAGAUCUUCUUAUUCUAUUCUCAUUGACGAUGCGGAAGCGGCAGACAGUGACGACGGUUUUAUUAUUGCUGAUUUGAAAGACGAGUUAGAUUCCGACGAAAGAAACGGUAUCGUCUCGACUUCUCCCGACGCACCUCAUUGGACAUACAGCGCCAUGGAUAUCCUCCCGUUGCGGCAAAGCGAUGUAAUAGGACUUACUGCUGAGCAAUUUGGCCACGACGAGCUUGAAGAAGCCCUCAUUGUAAACAGCUCUACGAUGGAGUCAGUUGUUGAUGUCGCAGAUGCGGACGAUGUCCAUGAGGGCCAGCUCUACAAGAUGCAAGGCGACUUCUAACGAGCUCUCAAAGCAUACGCAAUGAAAAGAGGUUUUGAGUACGCACCGACGAAAUGCAACGACCAUAAGAUAACCGCACGAUGCCACGUCUUAUAUUGUCCUUGGAGAAUAAAGGCGCGUCAAGUACCAGGAAUUGCUCAAUAGUGCGUGAAGAAAUUUGAUUCGCAACACACUUGUAGCAGGGCAAUAGGGAGAUUGGGCCAUAGGAAUUGCGAUGCGGCUUUUAUAACAGCAUUUGUUAGGGAGCAGGUGGUGGCAAACAAGAAAUACACGCCGAAGAUGGUUCAGACCGAGAUUCUUUGGCAGCACGGCGUAAAAAUUUCAUACCGGAAAGCCUACCGGGCCAGGAAUUGGUCCUUCAAGAGGUGCGCGGCGAUUUCGAGGGCUCGUUCGCUCUACUUCCCUCGUACAUGCAAGAGUUGAGGAGUGGAGAUGCGGAAACAUGUCUCCAAUUACUUUACCAGGACGAGGGUCGUUUUCAUCAUUUUUUCUGAGCUUCGGCGCAGCAAUUCGAGCAUUUAGGAAGCACUGCAGGUCGCUGUUGGUCUGGAUGGUACGUUAUUGCACUAUUACGCCACUAUCACAUCAUUAUUUUACUAUGUUGCACUAUUAUAUAAUAAAUUCAUGAAUGUAACACAAUUAUUUGCACGAUUACACAAUUAUAUACACGGUUUUUUAUUCUUACAGGAACCUUCCUAACUGGUAAGUUUAGAGGUUGUCUGCUGACGGCGUCAUGUAUUGAUGGGAAUAACUGCAUAUUGCCAUUGGUGUGGGCAGUUGUUGAAGGUGAAAAUUGCUAUUCCUAGCAUUGAUUUCUGGAACAGUUACGGGAUGGCGUCGUUAGUGAUCGCGACUCCAGUAGAGCAAACAGUGUACUUACUAUCGUUUCCGACCGCCAAAAGGGAUUGAUUGAUGCUGUAUCCGAUGUUUUUCCGGAUGCAGCUUAUGGUUAUUGCAUUUACCAUCUGUCUACCAAUCUCCCGCACGCGCCAAAGAAUACACCUGCGUAGAGAAGAUUUUGGGCGGCGGUGCGCGCAUACAUUGUCGCGGAGUUCAACAAAUACAUGGAGAAGAUUAAGGAGUUGAACCCCGAAUAGUACAAGUAUGUGGUCAAGCUUCCUCGGCAUAGGUGGGCUACCCAUUGCUUCCUGGGAAGGCGUUAUUCAAUGCUCACUUCCAACUGUGCCGAGACGAUAAAUAGUGUAAUUCGACAUUUAAAGGGCCUUCCAAUUACCUACCUCGUCGAGGAAACACGAAAGAAAACAGCUUGUUAUUUUUACCAGAGAAAACAUAAUGGGGAGAAUAUUACCAGUGUAGUAACACCCUAUGCAGAAAAGAUUUUAGGUAUUAUCGUUUAUUUUUCCCCAUUUAAUCAGUAUAUUACACUACUUAUCAAUCGGUUACAUGUAGUCAUUACACUAUUUGUCCCACCCUUUGGACUGGCUUGUUGUUUUUCAGGUAAUUGCAGCCGACUGUACGGAUGUUGUGGAUCUUUCCAAAAAGACAUGUUCCUACAAGCGAUGGGACAUUGACGGAAUUCUAUAUAAUCACGCCAUGGCAGCAAUUUCUUUUAGGCUACGGGAUCGGUAUGAUUUUGUCGAGGAAUGGUUCAAGACCUCGACUUAUCGCGCAACCUACAACGAUUGCGUCCCCUCCACCAGAGGCAAAGAGCAAUGGCCUGCAAUACCAAGUAACGUUGUUCCACCACGGCCGCAAAACGUCUGCAUACAACCGGGCAGAAGAAAGGUUUCGCGGCGAGAGUCUAUUGCUAACGACUUAAUAAAGAAGCGGUGCCGGAAUUGCCAGAGAUGGGGGCACAACAAAAGGUCAUGCAAGAACCCUCCUGUGACUAGAGCAAACCAGCCGCGCGCGACGACAUCCGCGGGCGCACCGCAGGAAACAUCGAAAAAUCCAUACGUCUUAUUGUAAUAGUUCAAGGCUAAUGCUAAUAGUGUACAUAUAGAUAAUUUGAUUAAGUAAAUUUUUGUAAUAGUAUAAAAUAGAAGAUAAUAGUUCAACAUAUUUAAAAAAUAGUGUAACGAGGAUCUCAAAAUUUUGACUGUUAAGUGAGGUUGCACUGGAACGAGACUACGGAUGCACUGUUAUAGCGGUCAUUGCACCAUUUAUACUGCAGUAGAACCUUCCCGUUGCACUAAUAUCCCUGCGCACAGAGGCGAAUUCGACACUGCGGCGGCGACGGCUAGAGGUAGCGCAGCGGCGGAUAAAGAGGUCGUGGAGCCUCCUCCUACUCUGCCCCGCUAUUCGACGACCCCCAUGUCCUUUCAUUUGCACAAUAGCUUAAGAUUACAUUAAGAAAUAAAAUAAGUAGGUUAUGGAGAGGUUGCACUGGAACGAGUUUACGGAUGCACUGUUAGAAGGGCGGUUGCACGAUUUCUCCUGUCAUAGCUCCUUUCUGUUGCAUUAUUAUCCCAAUUGCGUGCGUGCACUUAAUGUCAUUUAGCUUCAGAAAAUAUCUUAAAGUCUUAAAGCCGAACAGCAAACAGCAGGUACGGCGAAUAGCGGGGGGGAUGUCGUCCGUUUUCCAAGUAAUGAGCGAGGUUGCGUAAAGCGGAAGUGGCGCAUUUAAUGAGCGUCAGACAGUAUGGCAUGGUCCGAGUUCCGAGUAAUGAGCGAGGGAGGAGAGGUUGCGUAAAGCGGACGCGGCGCAUUUAAUGAGCGCCAGCCCGCGCGGCUUUUGUAUACGAGGGGUGAAAUGAAAUUUAUAGUUAACGAAGUCUUUAAGUGGUGUAACUAAGAUCAAAAGAGUUCAAGAUUUUCCAGUAAAGUGUGUAACAGUACGAUAUGUAGCACAAUUUUUUCACAGAAUUGGUGAUAACAUGAACAUAAUAGUGCAAAAAUGUCCGAAAUUUAUAUUAUACUAUGAUGUAAAUAGUGCAACAUUGUUUGUUAAAUAUUGUAACCGGUAAAUAGUGUAACAAAUUCGUAAGGAGUCGAUUAACAUGUGAACAAGAAUUACAUUAUCUUUGAAGCCGAGUACACGAUUUUAUAGUACUUUGCAAAAUACAAAUAAGAUUUGCAUACAAUGUAACCUUCUAUUACAUCAACUAUAACAAACUUUUCAUAAUAAUUAAUUAAGAAAAGUAUGUAAUCAUCAAAGUUUCUCUGCAAUUCCACACGCACAUAGCCGACGCUAACAGGUAUAGGCCAGGGAAGACUGCCAAAGGAGACUGCGAUGAGGAGGAGACUGCCGAAGGAGACUGCGAGGAUGAGGAGGCUCGUUCAGAAGGGUAGAUCCAGCAACGAGGCACUAAGAUUGAUUUGCACUAUCUGGAGUGCUUUAUAUGCCUCGAGCCUUUUGGAGCUCCGCUCUACCAUGAAACAGACAAUUCAAUCAGCAAAACAUAAGAAUCCAUCAAUAACAAUAAAGAUAUGCAAGAAUUUAAGAACCUGUAUGAGAGGAGGGCCAAUGGGCUCGUGGCAAAUAAAGCACUCCAGAUAGUGCGAAUCAAUCUUAACGCCUCAUUGCUGGAUGGUACCCUUCCGAGCGAGCCGCCUAUUCCUCGAACGCUGCUUCAACUCUCUACCGUUAAUAGUGCAACGUAGGGUAAAAUAGUAGAACUAAGUUCAUAAGGGUGCAACGAUGUCAUCAUAAUAGUGCUAUGGAUUCAGCGAACAGCAAACACACGGUCUGGCGAAUAGCGUGGAUGAUAUACGCUCCCUGCGCAGGGCGCAUUUAAUGCUGCUAAAAGCACAUAGCGUAACAUGUACGUUAUAGCGUCCCUUCUGUGAGGCGAAGAGACACCGGCGGGUAUAUCGAAGCUGCCUCGGCAAAAGUAAAAGCACUAUUCAAACGUUUUUUUAUUUUUAUUUUGUUUAAAUAUGGCUUCUUCAGUUUCAUUCCGCGUAAAGGCGUUACACUGUUAUGACGAAUGUUACUCUAAUAUCGCGCCAGUAUUGCACUUUUAGAAGCUAUAUUACAUUAUGUUACUUGGCGUUCACUAUUAUUAGGGUCUAUCGUUGCACUAUUAUUAUACGAUUGAAUGAAGGAAUUGAUGUUUUUUAAGUGAUGUUACAGUAAUACGGCCCUUGAGGUGAGCAUUAGCCACUUUCUGUUCAUGAGAAAAACUAAUAUUUCAUGAGCAUUAAUAGUCGGUGACCUAAAUGGUUACGCAACCUACAAUACAAUAUAUAAAAGAGACUCUUUAUGGACUUGGGCAACCGGCAACGAGAAAACGGCGAUGAUGGAGGUACACAAGACGAGGGGAGAGAGCCGCAGGAGAGGUCGACAACAAGGAGGCUCGGUCGUAAGUGUACCAUCCAGCAAGGAGGCAUUAAGAUUGAUUCGCACUAUCUGAAGUACUGUGCUUUAUUUGCGACGAGGCACCACCUCUAUACCAGGUUCUUAAAUUCUUCCAGAUCUUUAUUCUUAUUGAUCGGUUCUAAUUUUUUUCUGACUAUACUGUCUCUUUACGAACAAUAUAGUGCCGAAACGUCAAUGCUAAAGUCCCUAGUGCAAAUAAAGCACUCGACAUACCCCUUCGAGCGAGCCUUCUCCUCUUCACCAUUUCAUCUUCCGUUAGAGGAACAGUAGCGUCUGCUCUGUGCGCGUGGAUUUGCCGGCUAGCUUUAAUGAUGAUACUAUACUUUUGUAAAAUGAAAGCCUACUUUUGUUCAAUAUUCAUGUUGAUGCGAAUGUUACAGUUGAUGUUGUGAACAUCGUAUUGUAUGCAAAACGUGUAUUAUAUGUUGCAUUUUCGUCAAAGACAAUGUAUAAUUUGCUUGUAUAUUAAUAAAAAGAUCCCUUUCUUUACAUCUUUACAUUCUUACACCAACGAUUUUUCUUGCAAUGGUUAGAGACUCAUUGCACCAUUUAGUCAAUUUAUUACACUAAUUGGUGAACUACCACACAAUUAAGUUUACAACGUUAAACGCAAUUUAUUACACCAUUUAGGAAGUAUGAUUUUUAAAGAGAUGUCUGACUAUUAUCUUCUUUAAUAAAUCAUGCGUUUUUAAACCAUUGCACUGGCUAUUAUCGGCGUUUAAACCAUUUUAAAGAGAUGUCUGACUAUUAUCGGCAUUUAAAGGUGCACUAUUAUUAUAUCCACCUCUCGAACGCACCCUUACAAGCUUAGUACGAGUCUUUUUCAAACCAUUGCACUGAUAUUACUACCGUAUUGCACUCUUACAAGUUUCGUUGCACUCAUUUUUAAAUCCGUUGCACUGUUAUUAAGACCGUAUUGCACUCUUACAAGCUUCGUUGCACUCUGUUGUAAAAUAUUGUUCUGUUAUUCACACCGCCUUGCACUUAUUAUAUA
RNAcentral lists this long non-coding RNA (32078 nucleotides) under Ananas comosus (pineapple). RNAcentral describes it as "long non-coding RNA (ACOM_LNC028090)". Lineage: Eukaryota; Viridiplantae; Streptophyta; Magnoliopsida; Poales; Bromeliaceae. The record is from RNAcentral.